AGCAGCCGCGGUAAUUCCAGCUCCAAUAGCGUAUAUUAAAGUUGUUGCAGUUAAAAAGCUCGUAGUUGAAUUUCGGGAUUGGCGCAUCGGUCGUGCCUCACGGGGUAUGAACUGGUGCAGUCAAUUUCUCACCUUCUGGAGAACCGCGAUGUCCUUAAUUGGGUGCCGCGGGGAACCAGGACCUUUACUUUGAAAAAUUAGAGUGUUUAAAGCAGGCAUUUUUGCUUGAAUACAUUAGCAUGGAAUAAUAAAAUAGGACGGCAUGGUUCUAUUUUGUUGGUUUCUAGGACCACCGUAAUGAUUAAUAGGGAUAGUUGGGGGCAUUAGUAUUCAAUUGUCAGAGGUGAAAUUCUUGGAUUUAUUGAAGACUAACUACUGCGAAAGCAUUUGCCAAGGAUGUUUUCAUUAAUCAAGAACGAAAGUUAGGGGAUCGAAGACGAUCAGAUACCGUCGUAGUCUUAACCAUAAACUAUGCCGACUAGGAAUCAGACGAUGUUAAUUUUUAAUGUACUCGUUGGCU
Molecule: ribosomal RNA, 520 nt
Filed under: uncultured Glomeromycotina
Lineage: Eukaryota; Fungi; Glomeromycota
Description: SSU rRNA
Rfam family: Eukaryotic small subunit ribosomal RNA
Source: RNAcentral